This is a long non-coding RNA of Oncorhynchus keta (chum salmon), 646 nucleotides long. RefSeq lists it as uncharacterized. Lineage: Eukaryota; Metazoa; Chordata; Actinopteri; Salmoniformes; Salmonidae. The record is from RefSeq and is a predicted model, not a curated record. The transcript is spliced from 4 exons.
AGCCAGCCCCGGAGGUGGUGUUGUGUCCAACCAGCCCCGGAGGUGGUGUUGUGUCCAACCAGCCCCGGAGGUAGUGUUGUGUCCAACCAGCCCCUGAGGUGGUGUUGUGUCCAACCAGCCCCGGAGGUGGUGUUGUGUCCAACCAGCCCCUGAGGUAGUGUUGUGUCCAACCAGCCCCGGAGGUGGUGUUGUGUCCAACCAGCCCCGGAGGUAGUGUUGUGUCCAACCAGCCCCUGAGGUGGUGUUGUGUCCAACCAGCCCCGGAGGUGGUGUUGUGUCCAACCAGCCCCGGAGGUGGUGUUGUGUCCAACCAGCCCCGGAGGUGGUGUUGUGUCCAACCAGCCCCUGAGGUGGUGUUGUGUCCAACCAGCCCCUGAGGUGGUGUUGUGUCCAACCAGCCCCGGAGGUAGUGUUGUGUCCAACCAGCCCCGGAGGUGGUGUUGUGUCCAACCAGCCCCGGAGGUAGUGUUGUGUCCAACCAGCCCCGGAGGUGGUGUUGUGUCCAACCAGCCCCGGAGGUAGUGUUGUGUCCAACCAGCCCCGGAGGUGGUGUGGUGUCCAACCAGCCCCGGAGGUGGUGUUGUGUCCAACCAGCCCCUGAGGUGGUGUUGUAACCAGCCCCUGAGGUGGUGUUGUGUCCAACCAG